Molecule: ribosomal RNA, 400 nt
Filed under: uncultured bacterium
Lineage: Bacteria
Description: bacterial SSU rRNA
Rfam family: Bacterial small subunit ribosomal RNA
Source: RNAcentral
GGGAAUAUUGGACAAUGGGCGAAAGCCUGAUCCAGCCAUGCCGCGUGAGUGAUGAAGGCCCUAGGGUUGUAAAGCUCUUUUGUGCGGGAAGAUAAUGACGGUACCGCAAGAAUAAGCCCCGGCUAACUUCGUGCCAGCAGCCGCGGUAAUACGAAGGGGGCUAGCGUUGCUCGGAAUCACUGGGCGUAAAGGGUGCGUAGGCGGGUUUCUAAGUCAGAGGUGAAAGCCUGGAGCUCAACUCCAGAACUGCCUUUGAUACUGGAAGUCUUGAGUUCGGGAGAGGUGAGUGGAACUGCGAGUGUAGAGGUGAAAUUCGUAGAUAUUCGCAAGAACACCAGUGCCGAAGGCGGCUCACUGGCCCGAUACUGACGCUGAGGCACGAAAGCGUGGGGAGCAAACA